UCUGAUGCCAAGAACAACAUAGAGUGAAGAAAAUCCAAAUCAAGAGUGAAGAAAAAAAAAACCCUACAAAAUAAAAGCUCGGAAUCCAGGAUAAAUCAAAUGGAAUCACAGAACAUGACACCGUGUUCAUAUAAAAAAUGCUGGCAAAAAAAACAGAGAAAACAUCCAGCUGCAAACUCGUUUGUGCCCAGAAAAAUUAAGCAGGAGAAUCAUAAAGCUGGACGAGGCUGACAAGAAAAAUAUCAACUGCCUCAUCCACGAGGAAAUAAGAUUUGUCAGCUCAGAGUGUGCACGCAGGAAGCCAGGGGAAGUGUGCUGACUGUCCUCUGACAGACUCUGCUGAGCACUCAGAGAUUACAGCUGGCUGUUUAUGACUGAAUCACAGACACCUCAGAGCGAGCAGGCACACCAACACAACUGCAGCAACGAGAUACGCGUUCGACGUGAGCAGUGGACACAAAAACGGACCUAUUCAGUCCGACACAGUUAGGGAGAAAAGUCAUUUAUUUUGUUUACCCCAUGUAUGUAUCAUUGGCACAACAUAUGUACUGUUACUGAGAUGGUCUGGAUUACUGUACCACCUACUGUAGAUAAAUGAUGCUGUAUCUCAUCUAACUGGACUGACGAGAAAGCUGAUACCUUCAUCAUCAUAAUGUAUAAAAUGACAGAGCUGUUGUCCAUGUCA
Acanthopagrus latus (yellowfin seabream) is the source of this 685-nucleotide long non-coding RNA. RefSeq lists it as uncharacterized. NCBI's taxonomy places the organism in Eukaryota, Metazoa, Chordata, Actinopteri, Spariformes, Sparidae. The transcript is spliced from 2 exons. The record is from RefSeq and is a predicted model, not a curated record.